CGCUGCCCAGCCCCAGCCCGGCAGAGCGGCCCGGGAGCCCCGGGUGACUGCCCCGGACUUCAGGGCCCGGCUUCGCUUUCCCCCUGCAGGACACUCUCGGUACUGCAUGGCCCCGGGCCCCAAGGGCAGGGAGCGAGACCCUGGAGUGAAGACCCCCCGGCCCCGCCAGGUGUGAUGGGGGGGCCCUGGGGAUAGGGUCCCCGAAGCAAAGCUGAGACUCAGAGGUGGGCUGCGGAGCCACGCCGUCCGCAGGGGCGGUGGCUACAGGUAGUUGUCUUCUGCGGCAUCGCUCCCGCCCCUGGAGCCCCGGGGCUCAUCCUCGUCGUCGUCAUCGGGGGCCAGCGCCUCGAUGUCGUGCGUGAUGUCAGCCAACAGCCGGUGGAAGGCCUGUGCCUCGGGCCGCUGCGCCGCGCCAUCGUAGCUGCGCACUGCGGAGGCCGACGUGGAGCUCAUGCUGCGCUUGAUGCGGCCGAAGCUGUCAGUGAGGAUGCCGCCCUCGCGGAUGCCCACGCCCUCCAGGAAGCCCUCGAAGUAGCCGAUGUCCUGGUCCGGGAUGAAGGGCCGCAUCCCUGCGAGCCGAGGGGCGUGCCUCCAGGCUUUUGCUUGUGCCAUUCCCACCACCGGCCCCAGCUCACCGUGACCAUGUAAUCCUGUAACUGCUCCAAGCCCAGACCGCUGUGGUCGCUGCCGCUGCAGUGGGAGCCAUGGAAAGAAGGUGUGGACGUGCCGCUGUAACAUGCUUCAAAGGUGUCCUGGGAGCCAUUGCUGCAGGCAUGGGAAGAAGGGCCUUCACUCACCUCCCUCCAGCUCCUGGCCCUCAGGCAGGCUGAAGGUAGGAGGCCUCAUCCUAGACUGCAUGCUGGCCUCCAAGGCCUCGCACACCCUGGCCCCUGGCACCUCUCAAGUCUCAUCUGUCACUGUGCUUGCCUUUGCCUUUGCUCUUUGUGCUUCGCGCCCCCCACCCCCCUUCUCCUUCUUCCUCUACUAUCUCCUCACCUCUGGGUGUUUGCACCUGCUGGUCCCUCUGCCUGGAUUGCCUCCUUUCCCCUCCCUUUUGCACAGCUAACUCUUACUCAUCCCGUGAUCUUAAAUGUCAUCUCCUCAGGAGAGUGUUCUCUAAUUCCCCUAGGUUGGGUUAGAACCUCUGUUGAACAUGCUCCCUCAGUCCAUGGCCUACCUGUGACAUGCAUGGCCUUUCCAGGUACCCCCAAGCAUCCUCUCUGACCACUCUCUCCCUCACACCAUUUAACACAGCCACAGUGGCCACCUGCUGACCCUCAAACCCACUAAGCUCUAUCCUGUUCAAAAUUUUUUUUUUUUUUUUUUUUGAGACAGAUUCUUGCUCUGUCACUGAGGCUGGAGUGCAGUGGUGCGGUCUUGGCUCACUGCAGCCUCCGCCUCCCGGGUUCAAGCAAUUUUCAUGCCUCAGCCUCCUGAGUAGCUGGGACUACAAGCAUGUGCCACCCAGCCAAUUUUUGUAUUUUUAGUAGAGACAGGGUUUCACCAUGUUUGUCCAGGCUGCUCUCAAAUGCCUCACCUCAAGCAAUCUGCCCACCUCAGCCUCCCAAAAUGCUGGGAUUACAGGCGUGAGCCACCACGCCUGGUUAGUUCAGGAUUCUUACAUUUGCUGUUCCGUCUACCUGGAACACUCUUCCCCCUUUCAUCCUCCAGGCCUCAGUUCAUGUGCCAUCACCUCUGAGAGGCCCUCCUGACUCUCCAGCUGAGUUGCGGUCCCCCUCUGCCUCUCUUAUAGCACCCUGAGCCUCCCUUUAGUACUUAUUACCAUUAAUGAUUGUUACUGUUAAAUUGUGAUUUCAUUGCCUCCUAUGCUAGACUGUAAACUUGACAAGAGCAGGGACUUUGGUUUUCUUCAUUUGUUGAACACCUACUAUGUGCCAGGCCCAGGUUUUGCCCUCUGUCUUGUGUCCAUCUGUAUCCCCAGCACACAGCAGAGUGCCUGGCACAUAGGAGGUACUCAAGAAAUAUUGCUUAAUAAAAACUCAACCUUA
RNAcentral lists this non-coding RNA (2009 nucleotides) under Pan troglodytes (chimpanzee). The record is from RNAcentral. Lineage: Eukaryota; Metazoa; Chordata; Mammalia; Primates; Hominidae.